This 240-nucleotide unclassified non-coding RNA is filed under the name soil metagenome. RNAcentral's name for it is "partial contains 5.8S ribosomal RNA, internal transcribed spacer 2, and large subunit ribosomal RNA". The record is from RNAcentral.
AACCAUAGAAACCUGCGGAGUACCUGCGGAAGGAUCAUUACACAAUAAACAUAUGAAGGCUGCACCGCCAACAGGCGGCAAGGCUGGAGUAUUUUAUUACCCUUGUCUUUUGCGCACUUGUUGUUUCCUGGGCGGGUUCGCCCGCCUCCAGGACCACAUGAUAAACCUUUUUUAUGCAGUUGCAAUCAGCGUCAGUACAACAAAUGUAAAUCAUUUACAACUUUUAACAAUGGAUCUCAG